Molecule: ribosomal RNA, 254 nt
Filed under: uncultured bacterium
Lineage: Bacteria
Description: partial 16S ribosomal RNA
Rfam family: Bacterial small subunit ribosomal RNA
Source: RNAcentral
UACGGGGGGAGCAAGCGUUGUUCGGAUUUACUGGGCGUAAAGGGCGCGUAGGCGGCCAGCACAAGUCAGUUGUGAAAUCUCCGAGCUUAACUCGGAAAGGUCAACUGAUACUGUGCGGCUAGAGUGCAGAAGGGGCAACUGGAAUUCUUGGUGUAGCGGUGAAAUGCGUAGAUAUCGAGAGGAACACCAGUGGCGAAGGCGAGUCUCUGGACACUUCCUGACGCUGAGGCACGAAAGCCAGGGGAGCAAACGGG